AAUCAACGCUGGCGGCGUGCCUCAGACAUGCAAGUCGAACGAUUAAAGCUCUCUUCGGAGAGUGUAUAGAGUGGCGCACGGGUGAGUAACACGUAAGUAAUCUACCUUUGAGUGGGGAAUAACAGUCGGAAACGACUGCUAAUACCGCAUAAUGCAGCGGCAUCGCAAGAUGACAGUUGUUAAAGGAGCAAUCCGCUUAAAGAGGAGCUUGCGGCAGAUUAGCUAGUUGGUAAGGUAAUGGCUUACCAAGGCUACGAUCUGUAUCCGGUCUAAGAGGACGGUCGGACACACUGACACUGAAUAACGGGUCAGACUCCUACGGGAGGCAGCAGUCGGGAAUUUUGGGCAA
Molecule: ribosomal RNA, 349 nt
Filed under: uncultured bacterium
Lineage: Bacteria
Description: bacterial SSU rRNA
Rfam family: Bacterial small subunit ribosomal RNA
Source: RNAcentral